CACGCUGUAAACGAUGGAUGCUAGCUGUUGGGGGGUUACCUCUCAGUAGCGCAGCUAACGCGUUAAGCAUCCCGCCUGGGGAGUACGGUCGCAAGAUUAAAACUCAAAGAAAUUGACGGGGACCCGCACAAGCGGUGGAACAUGUGGUUUAAUUCGAGGCAACGCGAAGAACCUUACCAGGAUUUGACAUGCUCUCUAUGGAUUCCCGAAAAGGAAUCCUUCACUUCGGGUGGGAGAUGCACAGGUGC
This 248-nucleotide ribosomal RNA is filed under the name uncultured bacterium. RNAcentral's name for it is "partial 16S ribosomal RNA". It matches the Rfam family "Bacterial small subunit ribosomal RNA", at positions 796 to 1041 of the family's 1533-position model. The record is from RNAcentral.